AGCGAACGCUGGCGGCAGGCUUAACAUAUGCAAGUCGAACGGGCAUCUUCGGAUGUCAGUGGCAGACGGGUGAGUAACACGUGGGAACGUACCCUUCGGUUCGGAAUAACUCAGGGAAACUUGAGCUAAUACCGGAUACGCCCUUUUGGGGAAAGGUUUACUGCCGAAGGAUCGGCCCGCGUCUGAUUAGCUUGUUGGUGGGGUAACGGCCUACCAAGGCGACGAUCAGUAGCUGGUCUGAGAGGAUGAUCAGCCACACUGGGACUGAGACACGGCCCAGACUCCUACGGGAGGCAGCAGUGGGGAAUAUUGGACAAUGGGCGCAAGCCUGAUCCAGCCAUGCCGCGUGAGUGAUGAAGGCCUUAGGGUUGUAAAGCUCUUUUGUCCGGGACGAUAAUGACGGUACCGGAAGAAUAAGCCCCGGCUAACUUCGUG
RNAcentral lists this ribosomal RNA (435 nucleotides) under uncultured bacterium. Its description in RNAcentral is "partial 16S ribosomal RNA". It matches the Rfam family "Bacterial small subunit ribosomal RNA", at positions 29 to 507 of the family's 1533-position model. The record is from RNAcentral.